GAUGAACGCUGGCGGCGUGCCUAAUACAUGCAAGUCGAGCGAACAGACGAGGAGCUUGCUCCUCUGACGUUAGCGGCGGACGGGUGAGUAACACGUGGAUAACCUACCUAUAAGACUGGGAUAACUUCGGGAAACCGGAGCUAAUACCGGAUAAUAUAUUGAACCGCAUGGUUCAAUAGUGAAAGACGGUUUUGCUGUCACUUAUAGAUGGAUCCGCGCCGCAUUAGCUAGUUGGUAAGGUAACGGCUUACCAAGGCAACGAUGCGUAGCCGACCUGAGAGGGGACCCGGCCCACCUGGAAAUGGAAAAGGGCCCGAAACCCCAGGGGAGGCAGGCGUAGGGAAUUUCCCGAAAGGGGCGAAAGCCUGACGGAGCAACCGCGGGGGAGUGAUGAAGGUUUUCGAUUCGUAAAACUCUUUUAUUAGGGAAAAAAAAAUGUGAAAGUAAAUAUGCCCGUUUUGACGGUACCAAUAAAGAAAGCCCCGGCUAACUACGU
RNAcentral lists this ribosomal RNA (496 nucleotides) under uncultured bacterium. RNAcentral's name for it is "partial 16S ribosomal RNA". It matches the Rfam family "Bacterial small subunit ribosomal RNA", at positions 28 to 506 of the family's 1533-position model. The record is from RNAcentral.